This 465-nucleotide ribosomal RNA is filed under the name uncultured bacterium. RNAcentral's name for it is "partial 16S ribosomal RNA". It matches the Rfam family "Bacterial small subunit ribosomal RNA", at positions 28 to 507 of the family's 1533-position model. The record is from RNAcentral.
GACGAACGCUGGCGGCGUGCUUAACACAUGCAAGUCGAACGGUAAGGCCCCAGCUUGCUGGGGUCCACGAGUGGCGAACGGGUGAGUAACACGUGGGUGACCUGCCCCGCAUUUCGGGAUAAGCUUGGGAAACUGGGUCUAAUACCGGAUAGGACCGCACAGUGAGGGGUUGGUGGAAAGUUUUUUCGGUGUGGGGUAGGACCGCGGCCUAUCAGCUUGCUGGUUGUGUAAUGGCCUACCACGGCGGCGACUGGUAGCCGACCUGAGAGGGUGGACGGCUAGAUUGGGACUGAGAACCGGCCCAGACUAGUAUGGGAGGCAGCAGAGGGGAAUAUAGCACUAUAGACGGAAGCCUGAUGCGGCGACGCCGCGUGGGGGAUGAGGGCCGUCGGGUUGUAGACUACUUUUACCAUCGUCGAAGGGUUUCUGACGGUAGAUGGAGAAUAAGCCCCGGCUAACUACGUG